This 292-nucleotide ribosomal RNA is filed under the name uncultured bacterium. Its description in RNAcentral is "partial 16S ribosomal RNA". The record is from RNAcentral.
GGACUACACGGGUAUCUAAUCCCGUUCGCUCCCCUAGCUUUCGUCCAUGAGCGUCAGGUGCUCCCCAGGACACUGCCUUCGCCUUUGGUGUUCCUCCGAAUAUCUACGCAUUUCACCACUCCACUCGGAAUUCCGUGUCCCUCUGAAGCCCUCAAGUCAUCCAGUUUUCAAAGCACUUUCCCGGUUAAGCCGGAAACUGUCACUCCAAACUUGGCUGACCGCCUGCGGACCCUUUACGCCCAGUAACUCCGGACAACGCUCGCCCCCUACGUAUUACCGCGGCUGCUGGCAC